This 406-nucleotide ribosomal RNA is filed under the name uncultured bacterium. RNAcentral describes it as "partial 16S ribosomal RNA". It matches the Rfam family "Bacterial small subunit ribosomal RNA", at positions 30 to 526 of the family's 1533-position model. The record is from RNAcentral.
AUUGACCGCUGGCGGCAGGCCUAACACAUGCAAGUGGAACGCAUGGCGGACGGGCGAGUAAUGUCUGGGAAACUGCAUGAUGGAGGGGGCUAAAAAAUGGAAACGGUAGCUAAUACCGCAUACCAUCGGAUGUGCCCAGAUGGGAUUAGCUAGUAGGUGGGGUAAAGGCUCACCUAGGCGACGAUCCCUAGCUGGUCUGAGAGGAUGACCAUCCACACUGGACCUGGGACUCGGUCCAGACUCCUACGGGAGGCAGCAGUGGGGAAUAUUGCACAAGGGGCGCAAGCCUGAUGCAGCCAGGCCGCGUGUAUGAAGAAGGCCGUCGGGUCGUAAACGACUGUAAUGUGUGAGGCGGUACCAACAGAAUAAGCCCCGGCUAACUUCGUGCCAGCAGCCGCGGUAAUAC